Prosopis cineraria is the source of this 99-nucleotide small nucleolar RNA. RefSeq annotates it as small nucleolar RNA Z157/R69/R10. The record is from RefSeq and is a predicted model, not a curated record. The transcript has a single exon. Lineage: Eukaryota; Viridiplantae; Streptophyta; Magnoliopsida; Fabales; Fabaceae.
GAGUGUGCGGUGAUGAGGCAGUUUAUUGGACUAGAGUUUCUGAUCUGGGCAUCACACUCAGAACUUGAUUAACAAACCCUUGGCUGUCUGAGCACACCU